This is a long non-coding RNA of Erinaceus europaeus (western European hedgehog), 552 nucleotides long. RefSeq lists it as uncharacterized. NCBI's taxonomy places the organism in Eukaryota, Metazoa, Chordata, Mammalia, Eulipotyphla, Erinaceidae. The record is from RefSeq and is a predicted model, not a curated record. The transcript has 5 exons.
GGGGCCGCGGCGGCUACGAGGGCGGCGGCGGCGAGGGCGGCGGCGGGAGCUGUCGUUGCCACCGUGGAGCCAACAGGAACCCCGAAUUCGUUUCCAGAACUGAUAGGGGUCUAUUGCGUGUCCUGUCCAGUCCAACUGGACAGUGAGAAAUUGAGAAAGAGACAGAGAGACAGAGACAGAGAGACAUCUGCAGUAGUUGCUUCAUGGCUCAUGAAGCUUCCACCCUGCUGGUGAAAGGAGUGUGGAUUCAAACGAAGGCCCUUGUAUAUGAUAACAGAUGUGAACUGGUUGACUACAAGUCAUAGGGUAUGAGAAUAUGUCUGCUGUAUUGGAUAGGAGGAGAAAAAGAACCAGACAUCACUCUGGUACACGUGCUGCCGGGGAUUGAACUCAAGACCUCAUGGUUGAGAAUCCAAUGCUUUAUCUACUGCGCCACCUCCCGGACCACUUGUUUUUAUAAUCCAAAAGUGGGAAGAAGAUAUUUACAGAAUACUUAACAAAGAAGAAAUCCAAAGGACCAACAGACAUAAGAAAAAAUGUUCAGUCACUAUC